Molecule: ribosomal RNA, 477 nt
Filed under: uncultured bacterium
Lineage: Bacteria
Description: partial 16S ribosomal RNA
Rfam family: Bacterial small subunit ribosomal RNA
Source: RNAcentral
GAUUAACGCUGGCGGCGUGCAUAACACAUGCAAGUCGAACGAUGAAACUUAAAUGAUUUCUUCGGAAUGAACUUAAGUGGAUUAGUGGCGGACGGGUGAGUAACGCGUGAGUAACCUGCCUUACACAAGGGGAUAGCCGUUGGAAACGACGAAUAAUACCCUAUGAAACUAUCACUUCGCAUGAAGCGAUAGUCAAAGUGUUAGCGGUGUAAGAUGGACUUGCGUCUGAUUAGCUAGUUGGUGAGAAAAAAGCCCACCAAGGCAACGAUCAGUAGCCGGCUUGAGAGAGUGUACGGCCACAUUGGGACUGAGACACGGCCCAGACUCCUACGGGAGGCAGCAGUGGGGAAUUUUGCACAAUGGGGGAAACCCUGAUGCAGCGACGCCGCGUGAUUUAGAAGGCCUACGGGUUGUAAAAAUCUUUUGUAUAGGAAGAAAAUGACAGUACUAUACGAAUAAGGUCCGGCUAAUUACGUG